Molecule: long non-coding RNA, 500 nt
Filed under: Mus spicilegus (steppe mouse)
Lineage: Eukaryota; Metazoa; Chordata; Mammalia; Rodentia; Muridae
Description: lncRNA (ENSMSIG00000004414.1)
Source: RNAcentral
CCUGUCCUGUCUCACAGACAGACCUGCUGCUUCUGACCCUUAAAUUCCCUCAUCUUGGUCUCCAACUCUACAGUUUACACAUGAAGACCACUCAUCAAUACAUCAGCUGGGAGGGAGUGAUUUCCAAUAGUGAAAGAGCACGGUGCUUCUGGCUUUGAAGGCGAUGGCAAGCACAGGUAUUUUUUUCAAAAAAAGAGAUACAUGUAAAGAUGUUAAAAGCUAGAAAAAAAUACCGCAAGAAUCUUCUCAACCCAUGCACCUUUCUUUCUUCUGCUAGAGGACCAGAAGAUAACACUGGAAGUUGUUCCUCAGGCAAGGCUGGAAGCUUGUGCAAAUGCCCACGAUUGUCAUCUCUUCUAUCCAUGUGAGCAGAUAUCACCCUGAUGAUCAUACUUGUUAUGCAAUCUUGUUCUUGACCUCGGCAGAGAGUUGGUAGGAAGGACUCUUGUUGAAGUGUUGUCAUGAUGGUUAUGACUACCACAAGGGGCUGUGCGUGAGAG